This 3181-nucleotide long non-coding RNA is filed under the name Bemisia tabaci. RNAcentral's name for it is "lncRNA ENSSWEETPG003246". The record is from RNAcentral. Lineage: Eukaryota; Metazoa; Arthropoda; Insecta; Hemiptera; Aleyrodidae.
CGGAACUCAAUAUUUACAUGAAAACCGCUUGUACCGGAAACCCGCUUAUAAUAUAAAAUUCGGCCGAUCCCAAUGCGUUCCGUUUCAUUCAGUUUCUACUGUACCUAGUCAUUUUAUCACAGCCUCCGAACAUAACAAGUUCUAUGUCCUGUCAAGCCAGCAUAGCAUGUAAUCAGCUGAUAGUUGUUGCCAAUGAAAUUUUAGAAAAAUCUCAAAAUAUUGUGUUCUUAGUAAUAGUUAAUUGCUAACUCUGACCAGAAGUUUUUAUUCUAGGUGUGACAUCUAAUCAAAAUGGUAACGUAUCUCCCUUUUUCACAUGUAUGAUUAACUCUCAUUUUGUCUUUCAGGAGGAAUAUGCCCCAGAUAUCAGGUCUGAUUACCGAUUGUCUGAUAUCAUCAAACCAGCAAAUAAAAAUUUGGAAAAGCAAAUUUCAAGUAACACAAGUUUAAGCAACGGAGACAAAACUGAGGAUCGUCUGAAUCAGUCAUUUGAUGAUAGCGAUAAUGAAUCUCUUGCUUCUAAAGCUAGAGGAAGGAAAAGGAAUUUGCAAGAUGCCAAAGGAGACUCUUCAUCAGAUGAUGCAAAAAUUCCACAGAAAAAUACUCGUUCUUCCUCAGAAUCUGCUAUAGAACUGCGAACAAGGACCUCCAAACGCAGACAUCCAAAGACGAUUCCUCUGACACAGUUCAAACGUAAGUCUACAUUGCGAUGGCUACACUUAAAAAUGUCUACAACCUAAUACAAAAUCAAUAUUUUUAAGAUUUUGAUCACACAAAAUUUGUAUGUGGUACAAAAAAAUGGUAUGAGCUUUACAAAUUGUGACAGAUUGGCAUCGCAAUAACGGUGACUUACAUCAGCAAAAAUGUCCAAGCAGUGGGCUGUUCGUUGAAAUUGAUAGAAAAAGAAGACAAAAGGAUAUGAAGAGCCCCUAUUGGUUGAAGCGGGUGGUUGCAAUGGACAAAAGAGGUAGGUAAUAAACUGACUAACAGCAACUGACGAGAGACCCUAUAGUUAGUCUUAUCAUUUAUCCCCUUUGUCUUUAACAACCACCCUUUUCAACCAAUAGGAUCACUCCAUACUCCCUAUGUCCUCUUUGUCUAUCGCUUUGUCUAUGAAUUUCAACAAUCAGCCUGCAGUGUGGCAAUGAGAGGGUGUGUACUGAAUGAAGUCCUAAAGUAUGAAGACAUUUUAGCGGAGUGGGGAAAUUUUGAAGUUAAGAUUGCUAAUUUUUGCUCAAAAGAAGUUUCUACAUCUCUAGGUUUUGGAUCCGUAAUUUUAAGUAACUGAUUGUAUCACCAAUAAUUAAAGUAUUUUCCAGCUGUGUCAUGUGUCAAAAAUUUCCUCAAGCUCAUUGCAGAGUCAAUUGGUUAUUGGUCUUGAUUUACCUCCAAAAUUUCUGUGUUAGUGUCAUGUGAGUUUUAUCUAUGAAAAAUUGUUAACACGUUGAUCAUACAAUUUUUGUCUCACUUAUUCUACUAGGAUUUGAAUCCAGACGGAGCCGUAAAACAAGAAGUAAUCUCUGACGAUGAAGCCAAAGAUGUGAUUAAAUCUCCAGAACCAGUCAAGCGAAGAAAGAGCCUCAGUGAUUCGGAUCUAGUAGUAAAGAUGUAAGAAGUUGACCAGUAUAUAUUUCAAUGACACCUUAAAUGGUUGAUCGGACAAAAUUUCAAUUUUGAGUGACCAAUGGGCCUGUUGCAAACUUUUGCUAGAGCAGAAUGAAGAGUUGUUUCCUAUAGAUAAUGCCUCAAAAUCACGAUGAGCGCAUCGGCAGAGUCUGAAAUGCACUCAUAAAUUCACAAUCUGCGUAAGAAAUUUGCGUUAUUUUGAGCUUCCCGCUUCAAAAACGAUACUACGGCACAGGUGAACAUUUUGUUAGAGGAGUCGCUCCAUCGUCGGCAAUAUUCAUCAUGGCCGACGCUUGCGCAGUUCCGCGCGUAAUUCGAAGAGAGCUCAAGGUCAAUCAAGGCGGGCGAGGAAAAUAUGAAUGUAAACACGCCGAUUGUUAUCUGGUUUAAUCCUGUUCAGGUGUUAUCUCGUCCCAUCACACGUGUUUUGGCGGACUGGCGUCGGCCAUGAUGAGUAAUGCCGCCAAUGGAACGACUCCUCUAACAAAAUGUUCACCUGUACCGUAGUAUCGUUUUCGAAGCGGGAAGCUCAAAAAACCGCAAAUUUCUUGCGCAGAUUGUGAAGUUAUGAGUGCAUUUCAGACUUUGCCGAUGCGUUCAUCGUGAUUUUUGAGGCAUUAUCUGUAAGAAACAACUCUUAGUUUUGCUCUAGCAAAAGUUUGCAACAGGCCCAUUGCUAUGAGAAGGAUUUUGAAAUGGAAAGAAGAAUGAUAAAACUGUAGACCAAGUAAAUUUAGCACAGAACUUUUUCCUUAAUAUUUGUAUGAGAGUUUCUUCAAUUCGCUAGAAUCACUAAAUAAUUAUCAGCUGUGAAUUUUAACUUGGGACUCCUUCUAUGUUGAUUGAGGUAGAAUCAAUAACGUUUGAAAUGGCAGGAGUUUGACUAAAGAAAUGCUUAGUUCUUUGUGCCACAAAAGAUUAUGAUUUUCAACAAUCAUGUAAAUGCAGUUUUGUUGGAAGGAAAAAAGUUACUGCGGAACUGGGUGUUUCUUUGGAAAUUUUAAAACCCUCUAGUGCAACACCCACAAGAAAAAAAAAAUCAUGUAAAAUUUUUUCAUGUCCUACAGGGGAACUACAUUCAGCUAUUUUCAUGAAAUUUACUCAUUAUUUCCUCAGUGGUGAAUUUUUAACCCCUAAAAGAUUGGAAGUAUUUAAAUCAAAAGGUUUCUCUUUAGAUUUUGUAUUUUGUUUACAAUUGAAGAAAGGUAAUCCAUGACAAUUAUGGAAAUUUGAAUAGCCUUGGAGGCUGUUAAAUCUUGCAAGUAAGAUUUUGCCCAGUUUGAAAGCCCAACUCUAAUCUCAUUACUAUCCACAAUGUAAUAUUCCUCUGUAUGUUGUGUUUUUCUAGAUCAAUUUAGAUACGUUGAAAGACCUAGGACUGAUGAGUGGCAAAAAAAAGAAAUCCAUAAUCUCUUUGAACUUGAACAGCACCCCGGAGGUAAGUGUAAUAGUAUUUUAUUUCCUUAUUUAAAUCAGUUGCCAGGUCAAAUACAUGAAGUUUGUACUUGAAUUUUUUGCUUUUUAUUAUAAACUCAUGUUAUUUUAUACAAAAUGG